RNAcentral lists this transfer RNA (69 nucleotides) under Henricia leviuscula. RNAcentral's name for it is "tRNA-Thr". The record is from RNAcentral. Lineage: Eukaryota; Metazoa; Echinodermata; Asteroidea; Spinulosida; Echinasteridae.
CUUUGUAAGUUAAAAAUUAACAGCUAAUCUUGUAAAUUAGAAAAACGAGGUUAAAUCCCCCGACAAAGA